AACGAACGCUGGCGGCAUGCCUAACACAUGCAAGUCGAACGAGACCUUCGGGUCUAGUGGCGCACGGGUGCGUAACGCGUGGGAAUCUGCCCUUGGGUUCGGAAUAACAGCGAGAAAUUGCUGCUAAUACCGGAUGAUGACGUAAGUCCAAAGAUUUAUCGCCCAAGGAUGAGCCCGCGUAGGAUUAGCUAGUUGGUGAGGUAAAAGGCUCACCAAGGCGACGAUCCUUAGCUGGUCUGAGAGGAUGAUCAGCCACACUGGGACUGAGACACGGCCCAGACUCCUACGGGAGGCAGCAGUGGGGAAUAUUGGACAAUGGGCGAAAGCCUGAUCCAGCAAUGCCGCGUGAGUGAUGAAGGCCUUAGGGUUGUAAAGCUCUUUUACCCGGGAUGAUAAUGACAGUACCGGGAGAAUAAGCUCCGGCUAACUCCGUGCCAAGCAGCCGCGGUAAU
RNAcentral lists this ribosomal RNA (452 nucleotides) under uncultured bacterium. RNAcentral describes it as "bacterial SSU rRNA". It matches the Rfam family "Bacterial small subunit ribosomal RNA", at positions 29 to 524 of the family's 1533-position model. The record is from RNAcentral.